GGCUCGACUCUCCCACCCUUUGUGAACGUACCUCUGUUGCUUUGGCGGCUCCGGCCGCCAAAGGACCUCCAAACUCCAGUCAGUAAACGCAGACGUCUGAUAAACAAGUUAAUAAACUAAAACUUUCAACAACGGAUCUCUUGGUUCUGGCAUCGAUGAAGAACGCAGCGAAAUGCGAUAAGUAAUGUGAAUUGCAGAAUUCAGUGAAUCAUCGAAUCUUUGAACGCACAUUGCGCCCCUUGGUAUUCCGGGGGGCAUGCCUGUUCGAGCGUCAUUACAACCCUCAAGCUCUGCUUGGAAUUGGGCACCGUCCUCACUGCGGACGCGCCUCAAAGACCUCGGCGGUGGCUGUUCAGCCCUCAAGCGUAGUAGAAUACACCUCGCUUUGGAGUGGUUGGCGUCGCCCGCCGGACGAACCUUCUGAACUUUUCUCAAGGUUGACCUCGGAUCAGGUAGGGAUACCCGCUGAACUUAAGCAUAUCAAUAAGCGGAGGAA
Molecule: ribosomal RNA, 496 nt
Filed under: Lasiodiplodia theobromae
Lineage: Eukaryota; Fungi; Ascomycota; Dothideomycetes; Botryosphaeriales; Botryosphaeriaceae
Description: eukaryotic LSU rRNA
Rfam family: 5.8S ribosomal RNA (bases 121-274)
Source: RNAcentral